UAAGUCGUUAGUCCACCUGGUUGGAGGAC
RNAcentral lists this small RNA (29 nucleotides) under Bombyx mori (domestic silkworm). Its description in RNAcentral is "ovarian small RNA-19411". Lineage: Eukaryota; Metazoa; Arthropoda; Insecta; Lepidoptera; Bombycidae. The record is from RNAcentral.